This 253-nucleotide ribosomal RNA is filed under the name uncultured bacterium. RNAcentral's name for it is "partial 16S ribosomal RNA". It matches the Rfam family "Bacterial small subunit ribosomal RNA", at positions 524 to 776 of the family's 1533-position model. The record is from RNAcentral.
UACGGAGGGUGCAAGCAUUAAUCGGAUUUAUUGGGCGUAAAGGGCGCGUAGGCGGGGAUGUAAGUCAGACGUGAAAUCCCGGGGCUCAACCUCGGAACAGCAUUUGAAACUACAUCUCUUGAGGGUAGGCGGAGAAAACGGAAUUCCACAAGUAGCGGUGAAAUGCGUAGAUAUGUGGAAGAACACCGGUGGCGAAGGCGGUUUUCUAGCUUAUUCCUGACGCUAAAGCGCGAAAGCAAGGGGAUCAAACAGG